UUUUUCCAGAACAAAACACAAAUGAACACAGAAAUGGGUUAAGAUUCGAAAAGAAAACGGAAACAACAGGGACACCAGCAGCAGACAAGUGGAGAUCUCAGAAACAAAGACGCAAUAUCAAGUGGAAGAGACACCUUAAGAUGCUCUGGGAAAGCACAAAAGCAGUGUGUUAUCUUCUGUUGCAUAUCUUCAGUUCUUUCUGUAGGAGUCCCGGGAUUUACCACGGCCAUUUGGUGACAACGAGCUGGCAAUCUCAACAUCUAAACCACGCAAUCAGCAUCUGGGAGAAGCGGUUCUUCAGAGAAAGAGACGGAAUCCUCCUGCAGAAGGGAAGUGAGCAGGCCAAACCACAGAGGAUUGUGAACUUUCUUCGGUGGAUCUUGGAGCGAAGCCUUCAUUAAUUCAUCUUUUUGCUUAUCCUUUUUUUAGUUUUGCUUUUUUAUCUUCUGCAUCCAAACCACAAAAAAAAAAAAAACAGAAAAGUAAAAGAAAAAUACUAUUUUCUUUGAAUGAUAGCACCAAGUGCAAUAAAGCAGGAGCCAAUUUAUCAACAGAAGGCCAUUUUCUCUCCCCUUUUAAAUGAGAUUUCCCAGCUCGUUGCAAAGACUCCAUAGUUAUGGCCAGGUGGUAGUAAGCAGCACACAUGUUAAUUCGGAGGCUGCUACACCGCUGGCCCAGAGCCAAGUCUCAAUUAUUAGAGGAUGUGGAAUAUGAGGAACUAGGGAUCAAAACUAAGGCCCAAUUUUAUCCACAGGUUUGACACUUCCUAGAUAAAAGUUUGCCCCAGCUGCUGUGAACAGUUGUGCUGAUUUGACAGUCGCAUCUGGUGAAAUUGCCCCCCACAUACCUAGAUAGAAUUAUGGGCCCUGUGAUCCUCAGCACACUCCAGAGAGUUUGAGGGAUUCACAUCCACUUAGCCCAGAUGCUAAAUGAGAGCAUUUUAUCAUAGGUGGGGGAGGAGACGAUUCAGUUGACCCAGUGCCUCAAAGAACCAACAGUGAAAACCGAGUCACAGGUCGCAGCUUGAAAUUGAAUUCCUUCUUGCCUUGCCCCCAUCUCCAGGCUAGCCAAAACUCCCAAGGGACAUCCCUACCAAAACACAGAAUGUCUUCUUCAAAGAAGUAUCCACUGCUUGUUUUGUUGCUGCAGCGAAACGUCUGAGAAAAGUAAUUUGAAGAAGGGAGGUUUAUUUUCAUCCGUGAUCCCAGAGUGUAGCUCAUCAUUGAAAUGAAGUCGGGGUGAUGGGAACUCAAGGCAGCUGAUAACAAUGCAUGCAUAUUGUUUACACUUACAUUGAAUUGUAAUUCAAUGCUCAGCCAGCUUCCUCUCUUUUUAUUCAGGACCCCAGUCCAGAGAGUAGUCUUGCCCAGAGUUAAGGUGGAUCUUUCCACCCCAGUUAAUCCAAUCUAGAAAAUCCCUUACACGUGUGCCCCUAGACUUGUCCCCUAGGUGGCUCUCAAUCUAGACAGAUUGACAACCAAAUUAACAGUUGCAUUCAUCUAUCCUUAAUCCUUCUGGUUACUGAAAUUGUAAACAAUGGCCAGAGAGAGGCUGGAGAUGAGAGAUGGGGAAGCUUAAAGACAGAGCAGUGAGGGAAACUGAGUAAAAGGAACCACAUUGCGCUCCAAGGAGCUGGAGCAGAGGGAGAGGCAGCUUCCUGAUGGAGGCUAGCAUCAAAGGGUCUCUACCUGGUAGUCAGUUUUCAUUUGUAAAAAUCAUUUUUAUCUGGGACUGGAGAGAUGGCUCAGCAGUUAGGAGCACUGACUGCUCUUCCAGAAUACCCGGGUUCAAUUCCCAGCACCCACAUGGCAGCUCCAGUUCCAGGGGUUCUGACACCC
This is a long non-coding RNA of Alexandromys fortis (reed vole), 1838 nucleotides long. RefSeq lists it as uncharacterized. Lineage: Eukaryota; Metazoa; Chordata; Mammalia; Rodentia; Cricetidae. The record is from RefSeq and is a predicted model, not a curated record. The transcript is spliced from 3 exons.